Mus musculus (house mouse) is the source of this 3575-nucleotide long non-coding RNA. RefSeq annotates it as predicted gene, 53679. NCBI's taxonomy places the organism in Eukaryota, Metazoa, Chordata, Mammalia, Rodentia, Muridae. The record is from RefSeq and is a predicted model, not a curated record. The transcript is spliced from 3 exons.
UAUUCUUCACAUAUAUACACAACCCCCAAGGGUCCAACAUAACUCUCUCCUUGUCAGCAGAAUGACUGUGAAGCAGCAUGCAUUUAUCAGGCCUCACACUUUGAAUUUUGAGUUGGAAUUUUCCUGGGCUUGCCAUGUGAAUGCUCAUUGACGCUGACAGCAGAAAUUUCCAACCAACCACACAGUCAUGAGGGGAAAUUGUUCACACAGUACCUGCUCUGGUGGCCUGAGCCUUGUUCCUGUUGGGUCAGGAGGAUUAGCGCCCACAAGGAGUUCUACAGGUCCCACCAGGUCAAAAGGGGCGUGACAAGAGCGUGUGUAUUCUCUCAGACUUAAUCAUUGUCUCCCCUUAGUUAUGCAAAUAAACGACCUUGGGCAAUUUUACAGGGAGAUUUAAUAAGGAAUGAGGUUAAAAGAAAGAAAAACAUAAGAGUCCGGGUGCGGGUGGUGCAGCCGGGAAAGUGAGUCCCCAGGCUGAAACACAGAACAGCCGGUAGUAAGACAAAGCAAGGUAGAGAGAACAAUUUUAGCUCCAGCCCAGGCCUGAAUGCCUGGAGAGAAUCGGCCCAGGGAAGACCCCUCAGCAUCCCUCAAGGGGUCCCCAGGGGCAGAUGAGUCACCAAGGAGCACCUGCAGAGCAGCAAGAUCAGAGCACAGGAAGGCACAGAGCUGGAGGAGCCAGCCUGAAGAGUGGGAGCUUUUUCUCUCCCUGAGCAUGUUCAAGUGAGCUCAGGACGCCCUGGUCAUGGACGCCAAGUGCCCCGGAAGUACAAAUAGGUGCUCCCAUCCCCCUCCAGUGGGGAAUGUUGGUGGAGUGAUCCCCUGGCAUUUUUUUAAGUCCUCAAACAAGCAUGCACCUCAACAUGUCUCCUUCAGGAGCUCCUGUAAUCUGGUGCCAAGAGACAUGUACGUGUAUACAACACACUAUCUACACAGUAUAACGCAUAAGAAAGCAGGGCUGUGUUCCUCCAAUAGAGCACCACAGGAGGGAGAAAAGGCAUCAUGCAUACUUGGACACUGGUAGGAGGGAGGUAAAAUUGUUAGCAUCCUACGUUCAGUCUUCCCUGCUCCUCCGUUUUCUGUGGGAUUUUAGACUCAAAGUAACAGAAUGUCCCAUAAUAUCUGAUAGUUCUCGAAGUGGAGAGUUAGUCACACUGGAGGUCGGAUGAGGGCCCAUAUGCCGCAUCCUGACCCCCACUGCGACACCUCUGGGAGAGCUACAGAUCAUAGCAGAAGCACCCAUAGCAGCACAAUGGCACAAUGUGGACUUUAGUUAGCAGGAGCAGAGGGAGGCACUGGCCGGAUGGCUCUCUUUGUUUGCAGGGUGGGCAAACAAUGGCUUGAAAGAAUAUCUCAGCUAGUCAUUACAAUAUACAAUCAGGUUUCCUGUCUGAAUCCAAACAGCCACUCUGACCUGUCUUCCCUCCACCACGGCACCUGGAGCUGGCUGUAGCUUUGUGCUCUCUCCUUGGGUGCUCUGCUUGGCCACAGUCCACACCCUUCUUUUUUGUGUGCCUGACACUGCAGCCUGUCCACACCGUGUUUUUCCACCAAGCUGGAGCCUCUCCCUCAUCUGUGUGACCUGCCCUGUCCUGCAGGCAUGCAGUUCUGAUUCUGCCUCUAGGGAGUUGCCCUUUCAAAAAAAAAAAAAAAAAGUCUUAGGAGAGCAGGCCAUACUCAUACGCAUACGCAUGCGCAGGGGAGCAGGAUGCACAGGGGAGCAGGACCUACCCAUACGCAUGCGCAUGAGCAUGUCCUUCCCUCCGUAUUAACUAGAGCUGAGUAACUAUGCUGCUUCAUUACACUCAGAAUUAUGUCGGCAGAUAUUUUCCCUCUUAAAAUUUCCUACAUCUGUUUGGAAAUAGGAAUCUGUAUCUACUGUUGUUAGCUGGGCCAUUUCUGUAGCUCUUAACCUUUCCCCUUGAAUCCGACAUCCCUUCUCCAGGCAAAGACUCUGACCUGGCCAUCCCCUUCGCUUGGGUGGUUGCCCAUUCUUUCUGCAUCUGGGAGACCAGAGCACUAACUAAGCUGUUGGCAGGAGAGGAGGCAGAGCUCUCCACCUGCUGUUAAACCCAAGCUCUACCCCAUAAGAGGAAUCACAGCUCUGGGGGCUGCCAAGCCACGCAGGACGCCCUGCUUCCUUACACUUUGUUUUUUCAGCCAGGUGGGGAAAAAGCACAACCCCCACCACUGUCCCAUGCCAGCUUAGGCGUGGGGUACACUCUCAUUUCCUCCUCUACACUCUGGGAGACCAGUGAGACGAGGUGCUCCCUGUGAGCAGAAGUGUCCUUUAGUCUUUAGACGGCACAUUACCUGCUUCAUGGGGGUUGGAGGGGGCGUACAUACCAUUCCCUGCCAGUAGAGACAGUGCUAGGCUUCCAUACAACUGGCUAUAAUCUUCUUCCUCCUCUCAUGGGACUAGGCCUUCUAGCACUGGGAACAGGACCCUGUGACACAAAACCUCUUGAGUUACUGUUAAUUAACUCUACAUCUAGACAGGUAUUGUGUUUCAAAUGGACAAUUUGCUCCUUAUGUACUCAUAUCUGUAAUAUCUAUCCAUCCAUCCAUCCAUCCAUCCAUCCACCCAUCCAUCCACGUUCAACCUCUGUCUGCCCUCUACCCAUCUAUCCAUCCCUCCACCUUCCAUCCAUCUUCCAUCUGUUUAUCUUCUACCUAUCAAUCUAUUCACACAUCCUUCCUUUCAUCCAUUCAUCCACCCAUCCACUACUCGCUCCACCGUCCAUUUAUCUUCUACCUAGCUCUCUGGAUGCUCAUCUAGAGUUAGAUAUCUGAUCAAGUAUCUUCACUGCCACCUGCCCAACAGGUGUUGGAGAAAAAAUGGACAGCGAAAUCACACGGGACCUCUGACCUCUGUACGGCUGACCCCCUGUUUGGUAGAGGACACUCGUAAAUUGAUUACUACAAAUGAACAGAACGUGUCUGUCAACUGUGACAAGGGCAGUGUGAGAUAAAUCAGCUGCAGUAGGAAAGCUUAGAAAGGGGGUUUGAUCCUGCUGUGAAGGACAAGUUCUGCCCGGCAAACAAGAGCAGGCAGCACUGAAGGAAGGAGGGUGAAGCUCCAGUGAGCAGCUGUAGAGCAUAGAAGCUGUACCCUGGAGACCUUGGCCAAGACAAGCAGCAUUGGACCUCUGACCUGGAUCCCAAAUGUUUCUUUUUCAUUGUGUGCACAGACAUGCUCAGUGCAAAAGCAGAGGACCCUGAAUUCGAGGAAGUGGCGUGGACACUACCUGGGAAGAGAAAUAUUGAAAGGACGAGUAUUCCACAGAUGUUGGGAUUCUCUGGAUUCAGGCAGGCGAGUACUAUGUGGUCUGAUGUUCCACCAUCCCGAAGGGGAGCAGCAGACUCUCCAUGCCAAUGAACAACACCGCCAGUCAAUGAUGCUGGGAACUCACUAUGGACGGUCAACUUGACAGACUAGAGAAUCGCCUAGGAGACAAACAUCUGGAUGAGUCGGUGGAGGAAGUUCUAGAUCAGGUUAAUUGAUAUAGGAUAUCCCACUCCACAUGUGAGUGGCACCACUCUGUCCUGAGCUGAAUAAGAGAAAGUGCAUCUCA